CCAGACAGAAACGCAAUCGCAAUGCAGGCCAAUCCCUCUGCCCCGUUCGUCCACCCGCUCGCUCGCCCUCCCGUUCCCGGUAAUGACAAUCAUUACGGGGAAUGAUUGCAGCGUCGGGUCCGCCAGCGCGCCAGCCGCUAUUGGGGGAUGGAAACCACCUUAUAGAGUCUCUCCUCGGUCCUCGAUGCGAGCGGUUUGUCACAUGCUCCCGACGCGGCGGAGUGUUUCCUUUUCGUCGCGAUUCCUUACGAAUUCGUUACCACGGUGAAAAAAUACCAUCCUUUUCGCUGAACGAUCGUGUAAGAUGGACAGACGUUGAGGACGCGAUCGUUCGAAGUAUGGCCGACGAUUUCGAGCCUCGAACACGUGGAUUUCUAGAAGAUUUCUAUCAUGGAGAAAGGUUUACCGAGAUUGGAUUGGAAUUUUUGUGGCUUUUCGAGGUGUUAAUUUGAGAAAUGGAAUUGGAGUAAUGGACUGCGAUGUUGGAUCGAGAAAGUGACGAAUGGAAGACGCGGACGAUGCGACGGUCGCGUGAUGGAAACGUCUCAGUGCGAUAUGAGUGCGUCAUCGAAUACUCAGGGUCAGGAUGAUGUAAUUACUGGAAGAUUUUUUGUAUGGCUCGGCGAAUGAUGGAAAAGUCUUGUGAUAAACAUAGUAAAAUGUAUGCAAAAAGUCUAUACAUGAGAAUCAUCGAGAUGACGGAAGAACAUGGCGGUCAUUCGACCACGUGACUGUUUGUGCGACCAUUUUCAAGGUGCAGCACAGGGACAGAGGAAAAAAGAGAACGAGAACCUUGAACCAAUCGUAAAUGGCGUGGAGUGAAAGCGGUCGGUCUCCGCGGUUUUCCCAGAAGAGCGCGAGCCACGAAAUUAUCGACCUGUAAAUCGGAACGUAGGAUCUCGUUUCUUACUUACCAACGUGGGUAUGAGCUCGCUCUCUGUGCCAGAAGAAAAAGGAAAUAUAAAAGAGAGAACGAAGAUUGAACGUAGACGUUGGUCCCGAGACGAAAAUCGUGAAUCCGGUGCGUGCUACGAACGACGAUUCAGACGUUACAAUUUGCUCCUCGCCGCGAACAGCUUUCUGCCACGUCAAUCCUCGCACGUCGAAACAUGGCUCGGUGUUCCCUACGAUUGAUUUACAUCAUCCAUUUGACGGAUUACGAAUAACGAUGUUUAGAUGUUUCAGAAAAUGACUGGCGAGCCGGGUUUGAAGAUUUCUAUCGAGAACAUUAUUGCACAACGCAACCGAGUGAUUGAUGGAGAGCGUGCACUAUUUUCUGACAUGGUUUCGAUGAAAAAAAGUGUCAUUUAUUUCCCCCAGUGAUAACUCUGGGAAUCCUUCCACUUGGAUUAAUGACUAACCAUUAUCGUGCAAACUGUGUAUCAUUUCUUACACUUUAAUUGCGAGUAACUGGAAAAUAAAGCGGUAGCUUCGCCCACGAAAAACCAGAGAGAAAGAGAGAGAUUUAUUCUAUGCCAUUAUAGUAAUCAAAAAACGAGAAAAGGAGCUGCAAUAGACGAGAAAGCGUCGUUGGGUCACACCUUACCCGAUCGAAAAGGAAGAUGAGAUUGAACGGUGACACUCGACGGACAAUACCCCGUGACUCGAUUACACACGAGUACCGUUAAUCAUCCUAAUAGCGUGCGCAUAAUGUCAGAUACGAUCUGCGUUCGCUUGCUACGGUAGAUUCGUGAUGCCACGCUCCUCCAACGAUCGUUCGGCCCACGUGCGACUCGGCGUCGCACAGGAUGAGUCGAAUAGAAAAUGAAAUCAUGCUCCGCCGCUUAGAAGUACGGCUUUAAGAUCGUGAAUGGGCGUACGGAGACAAUCGGAGACGCUAGGCGCCUGAAUUCCGAUUGGACGUUGCCUUCUAAUUGAGUCAUCGUGUCAUUAGCGUUAUAAUAAUCACGGCUCGUAACGAAACGAUCUCUCUUUGUCGACUGUACGCUGGCCUGGAACGCCACCGCCGGGAAAACACACAGAUCCACCCGAAGAUCGUACGUAGAUCGAUGGCCAAUUAAGCUCAAUUACCGACACGGAUAAUCGGCCACCGUCGGUGAAAGAAUGAUUAUUCCGCGAAUGAUCGGUUAGGAUAUCGACCUUGGCUGAUUUUGCAAGAUCGAUUGCAACGAUAAAAUAGACAGAGGGAGGAAUUCUUGACCAAGUAGGAAGAAUGAUUGGAUGGAGAAAGGAGUUUACGAGGGAGGAAAGAGAAUUUCUUAAAUUGAAUUUGCGAUUACAUUUGAAGAUAUAUUGAAAUAAUAUUGCUAGAUUUUAUAGCUAUAUCGUACUUGUCUAAUGUAUUGCACAAGAUAGGAAUUAUUCUGCAACGAAUAUGAACAACGAUUGAAGAAAGAAGAUCGAAAGGAAGGAUAGUUUCCUGAAUUGAAUAUUCUUGAACGAAUAUGAAAACCGAUUGGACGAAGAAAGAAGUUGGAAAGAAAGGUAGAAUAGUUUCCUGAACUGAAUUCGCGAUCAUAUUUAGAGGUAUUAAAAUAGAAUUGGUAUACUAUAUCGUAUGUAUUCGUCGAGCCGCCUAUUUCACUGGAAUCCGAACAAAGAGGGCCUCGCAUUUUCGGAACGAGUUACCGGAACAUCGCGUGCCACCGAAAUAUUCUGGAAAUAUGCUAAUUACCAGUUAGUCAGUCAGUUUCUUGUGGCAUUGCGCCCGUUUCUACGAUCGCUAUUGCCUCCUUUCCACGCGGUUCACCUUGUCGAGACGUUUCGUCCCUUCUUCCCUGACUCUUUGUCCCGGUUUUCAGGAUUGUUCUUGUCCUUUGUCCGCCGCGUUCGAUUGUCCCUUCGAACAUGCGACAAUUUGACGCCGUUUAUCUUUCAUUCUUUUCCGUUCGAACAGAAGGUUUAGUUUCUUUUUUUAUGGAGAGUUUUAAAGUCAUAAAUAUGGGUCAAAGAAAAAUUGCACCUGUGUCCAAGUGGGUUCUUGGGAACUUCAUGCCGAUCCUUGAAUUUUUUUUAAUUACGCAAAGGAAUACUUUACUUCUGUGAACCCUUUCUUAAUAAUCACGAACAUUUGUCUUGAACUUUUUUGAUAGAUAUUACGUGACAGACGAGUGAUUUAUUUAAAGAUUUUUGAACUAGAAGCGAAUCGAUUGAACCUUCUCUGUAAUUCUACCGUUACUGUCUGACGAAGUCUAUUCUACUUCGUACAACUUCAAUCCUCCAUAGCCAUACAUUUUACAGACUCUUUAGACGGAGUGGGUCGUUUAUAUUCAAGUGUAAAUCUUCUGCUGUUCUCGAUUUUCAAAAAACGUACAAAACUUCUGGAGUACUUAUCAGUGUUUCUAUCUUAUUAUUAUACAACGCUACGUUGAAGCAAAUAUUUGAAACCUUUUUUAAUAAAAAUGAAAAAUCUUUUCUCAAGAAAAUUGAAUUGUUCUCGAUGGAUUGAAUAUGUAAGCGUACAAUUCUCAUAGAACCGGCAAGGUUAAUAAAACUUAAUUUUCUAUUAGCGUGACAGGCAAAAUGUUAAUUUCUAGUAUUAUGUACUAUAUUUUUCUUCUUAUCAGAAAUUGAAAGAUUUACGAAGAGCUAAAUAUUGUGUGCAGCCACACAACUUUCGUAGAAACAAGAGGGUGAAAACAUAAGUUCUUAACGCCAUUGAAGGCAAGGUGCUAAUUUGUAAUUAUCGUAUACUAUGUUUUCCUUUUUAUAAUCGAGCUUUCGACUCGUUUUUCAUCGGCAGGGAUCGUUGUCAUUGAGAAAGGCCGGCCAACAUCUCGCCAAUGUGCUUUCUUGUCUCUCUGUUGUGUGCAGUACAAGCGUGCAUACUUUCUGUCUUCACUCCCAUUAAUUAACCACACUGUGUACGCGGUUGUUCUCCUGUUUCGAGAAUGAGGAGCGACCCCUGCGCUGUAUCGCCGGCCUACAACAUCCGCCCUGAAUUAAUUGAAUAUACGGUUCGCGUUUACACGCGAUACGGAGCCAGUCUUUGUGUGUUGACUAAUACGGGGCUUUGGUACGUUGGGGAAAAUUAAAAAUUCAUCGGAAAUCGCGCGUAGGACGGCCUACCUCAUUCCCGCGAAACCGUAGGGUUUCGUGUGAUUCGAGACCCGAGCCGUGGCACCCACACGUCCAGCCUUCCCGCGAAUUCGUUCAGAAAAAACAACAACCUUCUUGGAAACCUGUAUCAUGCGAAUAUUAACAAAUAGAAUGCGAAUUUUUAUGCAUUUAUAAGAAAUUUGAAAAUACAAAAUUGUACAGAGCGCGCGUGAUACGUAGAAAAUAUAUAAAAUAUCGAAAAUAUAGCGCUUUGUAUGAUAUCGAUAGUUGGAAUAAUCUUCUACGGAGAUUGGCAGAAAAUGCGUAUACGAAUCCCAAAAUAUUAUACGCGUCCUGUUCACUACCAACAUAUUUUUACGUGUCUCGUUCAACAAUGAUUUCAUUAUGUUCUCAAUGACGUGAAUUUGCAUGGAAAUGCAGUCAAUUAAUAAACUUCGAACCACGUUUGGGAAGUGGUUCUUCCAAAGGUACGGCUCUGACUUGAUGGCAAAUGCGAAACGAACGAGUGAAAUCAGGAAAACUGGACUACCAUAGUCGUUGUAGUAUUCCACCAAUGUUUUUCUCCUUCGAUGUCUGGUUCAUACAAACUCGUCACACCAUUUUCUAAACUUUGUUCUCGAGCAUGUUCGAGUGGUAAAACCGUGACGUUUGCACCUUCGAGUGCAGCAUCGACGGCGGCGCGUAGAGAACAACCGGAAACGAGGGCAGGUCUAUUAUCGCCCCGGAGGUUAUACGAGCUAGCCGAAGUUUCAUCGCCGUGGAGUUCCAGGUACAGCAAUAUGUUGUUUUAUGGUGCAAUCAUCGGCGCGGUAAUAAUCAUUAAAUCCGUUGGCCGAAGCUGUGGGCUCCAGGGUCUCGUGGUCUUUGUCUCUUUCUCUCUUGAACGAGCUCGUCGUUAGGCUCAGAUUAAUUCGUUGAUCCUGAUGUUUCGCUGUUAAACGAUCAACAAGAAUAAUCGUUUGUUCUAUUAGCUGAAAACAAACUUUCUUACGAAAGAGAAUUUGACUGAAAAAAUUGCCAUUCAAAGAAUUUCUUAACUUUAACUAGCAUUAAUUCUUUCAUAGAGAGGAAUCGUCGGUGAUACUGUACCGAAAAAAUUUUCUUUCGUUCACCUUCGUAUUAGGGAAAAAUACGAGAGAUUCCGAGAUAGUUGAUGGGUUAAAAACAGAUUGAAUUUAAAAAGUUGUAGCUCAAACACGGUUUUGCGUUUAAUUCUUUCGCAAAGAAAUUUCCCCAAUAGGCUAAAGGCGCCGGCUAUGAUUGCACAAAAAUCUUUUCUCGUUUAUCUCUUCUAUUAAGGACAGCAUAGGAAGGGAGAGAAGUAGAAAAUCAGUGAGUUAAAGGAGGAAAGAAGGAAGAUCGUCAUUCAAGUGAUUAUCUUACUUGAUAUUUUUGUGCAGAAAUUUUUCAUCACUCUAGAGGCGCCAGCGAUGGAUACCAAAAAAUCCUUUUUCUAUAUCGAGAAAAGAAAAGAGAAGGGAGACUACGAAAGGGUUAGUUAGCGAGUUAUAUGAUGGCCAUAAUUGCGGUUUAUUGUCUCAAUAAAUAUAUAUUAUACGACACACCCCGGCUAUGUAUCAAGGCAGAAGCAGCUUGAUCGAGCUGCUUCCCGGGAUUUGAAAUCAGACGGCAUGUGUCGGCACAUAUAAGGCGCAGUUUAUGAGUCUGCUUAAUAUGGUUUAUGGUGUUUUGUCCGGCUCUUGUCGACUCCCUACGGAACCGGAAGAUACCUCCUAACGAUCUACCGAGAGAUGAUGACGAGGAUCAAAUAACGAUGAACCAUCGACAACACGUGUUCUUUAUAUUCAACGAAAAUUAUGUAUGUUUUAAACGUAAUUAUAAAUAUGGAAAAUAUUUUACAAAGGAGGAAUAAUUUAUUCCACAAACAUCAUGUUACAUUUAAGCAGACGAUACAUCAAUUAUGCUCACCUUGUGAAUCGAUGACUGAAAUUACAGCUUUUUCCAAUGAUGAUGUCAAUUUACUAAAAAAGUAGCGCCAAGAAACAAUUUAACGUCUUUAUGCUUGAUCGAUUGUUGGCCAGGUUACUGAUUCAAACGUACUUACACUCGUAUAUUGUUGCAUAAUAUGCAAUUAAGGAGACAGGAAGCGUGUACAAUUUGCUAUACGUGUUAGCUUCCGCUCUGAAUUUAUCGAUCCUCGCCGUGUCGAUUGAUAAUAUUUACCGAUGAGUUUUACAUUGCAUAAGUUACUAUUUUCACAACGGGCAUGUAUCGUCACGACAGAGCUGUCUAUUACGCAACGCGAAAUAAUUAACUAAAUAAGCGACGUAAACGUUCUACUUUUCUAAUCUUCUCUAUAGUCGUUUUAUGCCUACAUUUCGUCGAUGAGUGCCCAUUAGAAGUUCAUUAUUCUUAUCUUAAUUACACCAACACGACGGUGGUUCAACAUUGUUGUGCACUUGCUCACCGUGAACCCACAAGUCGUGGGAUAUCGUGUCAUUCCAUUGGUAUAAUCUAAUAAUAAUUCAUAAAACGUAGCCCGUGUCGCGGACGUGACGAUCGGAAGAUAACGAAAAUGAUAAACUAUACCUGUAGUAUCUAGCAAUGGAAGCCAGAGACGAAAGCUGAAAAUUGCACAGUUGUAACAAAACUGUAGAUUUUUAUUCCUUUUCAUCGUAGUAUACUUAUUCUUUUUAUCUUUGCCUCUGUAGUAGCUUUGUACUGCUGCUAGCAACAUGUUGAAUUUUUAUUUCAAUCAAAGAUAGAUGAUGUAUCAGGAAGUUCAUAGGUAUACGUGCGAGUAGACUGUAGAUAUUUAGGAAAAUUUAUAUUUUUAUAUAAACACGAUCGAAGAAAUGAAACCUAAGUAAAGAUUUCUUUCGACUACUUAAUAUUAGAAAAGGUAGUGCACUUUGGGCAUUUAAUUAUGUUUUUGCGUGCUCUCAAAUUUUUUAUAAAUACAUAAAAAUCAACAGUUGAGUAAUCAGUCUGAUCUUUGUGAUAAUCGAACCAUCGAUGUGCACUAUCGCGCGAUGCAAAUGCAACUCCUAAAUAUUGUUUGUUCGUUUAGCCUUUGUAUACAAAUUAAGACGUUGCAGGAGAAUCGGAACGAGUGGUUCAUUAUAGUAAACGCAUUCUUCCAGAUAGCGUAAAAGCGUUAGUCUUGCUGCCGGCUAAUUCCGCUUGAAUUUAACGGCAAGGACAGCCUAAUUGAUCUAUGCAAUUACGUACCGGUGGCGUAAGUGGUGCUAAGUGAAUACCGUGGUAAGCCUUGGUUUCUCGUAAAUUAUCGGACAGCAAUUUGGUGCGCGGAAAACAGAAGUAAAAAGACACCGAUGAAUCCCUUCGAUCGACAGAAAUACACAGCGUGCGAUAAGCCUUUUUGCGCAACUUUUUCGCAUCGUAAACAACAGUUUUAUUAUCCCCAUUGGCUAUCACGCUGUUAUGGUUUGCCUAUUUAUCAGAAUCUGCAAUUUCAAUACGAUCCGCUAUCUUUCAUUUAACAUUCGUAAUUUAUUUUUCUCAAUUUUCUUGUUAUAUUCUUGUGAUUUGUGUUUCGGUAGUACAUGGCGUGCUUGUGACAGUCCUUUGUUCCAUUGCUGAGAAUUUUGGAACCGAACCAGUUCCACAGACCCCUAACAUUAGAGCUCGCCUUAUUUUCUCGUAAUGACAGUCCAUCGAGGACUGUCUUCGGGUUCGAGAUUUGGAGGUUGAAAUGAAAGACGCUCCUUGGAUCGUCCGAUGAUCGUUGAGACUCUUCCUUUACCAUUAUUUAUUCCGAGAGUUGUACUCGUGUUUGGAAUUUUCUUCCGUUAUUAUCGUGUUAAACAGACUAUUUUUGUUUAUUAAUAUUACCGGGAAUAUUAAUUUUUCUGUUUCUUUACUACGACUAUGUAUUUUAUUUAUUCGAACGAAUUAAGCUCGUGUUAAUCGUAUUAAUGAUAAUCGGCGCUAAAUGCAAGAACUUAGCAAGAAAACAACACCAUAACGGGAUGAGAAGAAUAAUACAUUAACCAUCGCCGGUCGUCGCGUCGGUUGUCUUCAUUUCACGGGGCUUUUUCCAGUAAACGGCAUGAUGGAUGCGACGGCGAGAAUGCAGUCGACGGGACAAGAAGAAGUCCAGAUGUACAUUCUUACAUAACAAUUGCGAAUUCAGCUAAUAAAUUAUAACACGUCCUAAGUGUCUAAGCAGCGAGCGUCUAUCACAAAACCCUUGCGAUAUCGCCAACCGUCGGAAAAAGGGAAACGUUCACCACAUAUGGAGCAAAUACCAUUUCCCAGUCAGAGGCCGAAGAAACGAAGAGUGAAAGGGAACUUUCUGAAAUCCUUUCAUUUCAGUAAAAUUGCGGUUUAUUGACACUGAUGAUCUAAAAUUCGCUGCAGCGAAUCGUCGCUAACAAAACGACCGAUAAACGUUUUAUACCUUCGCUUCGUGCUUUCUUCCAGUUCCCCCAGGAAGUAAAUCCAACUUUCCAUCCUCAUGUGGAGGAACCUAGUUCAUAAAAUUCGAUAACCAGAACAUUUGCAUAGACGCACGAUAGAAAUGGUCUCUCAAUAACGCAACCGAAUAACACACUGCAAAUUCCGAUCUGAUUUAAACGAAUCAGUCUCUCGGAAUCAGAAUCAGAGCGAACAUAAAAGGACGAAGAGCGGACGAGUGCAUCGCGAGAUACCGCUACGUCGAGUUUUAGCACUAUCCCGCGUACCGGGAUUACUUUCCUUUCCCCCGAACGAUCUUUUUCGCGAACGGUGAACGGCACGAUCGAUGGCAACGGAAAAAAUGCGGUCGAUGCAGCAGGAAGGACGCAAGGUGGACACGGUCGAAGAGAGGGUGCAGCAGGGUCGCUGCUUUCCGUGAAUGCCGGCGGCUUCGUUUGAUGGUUUUUACCGAGAGUCCUGGAUACCGCGCGUUCCUAUAGCACGAUUGGCUCCUUCCAUGGGCCCCCGUUCGGUCAUUGGUCCUUUCCAACAGGAUCGUAGGUGCCCGUGGGACGACUUUAAACAGACGUCGUCGCCUUCUAAGUUGCUCUCCGCCGCGAUUCUUUUAUACACGCCAGCUCCGCGAUGUCGCCUAUACGUGCACGGAGAAAACGACCGUCGACAUUCUUCGGACCUCUCGUCGCGACCAAUCUUUACCAAGUUCGACUAUGGCGAAAAUGAAAUAGUGACUGCGUCACGUUAAGCUUUUGACUUUUAUGGGACACGGAUUUUCUCAUCGACGCUGAGAGAGACACUCGAGCGUGGUCCCUGCUUUCGACGAUUUUGGUCAAUGAGCAUGUGGACACUUAUUCGUAGUGAUCUAAAUCGACGAUAAAUUUCAUUCUUGGAGUAUUUAUUUAACGGUGGAGUAAUUUGAGCCUUGGACGAGGCUAGCAAUUUCUCUAUGGAGAUAUGAAUUACUUUCGUUGGUGAUGUGAUUUGGAUCUAUUCGAAUAUAUUCUUUGUAUCCUUUCGAAAUACUUGUUCGGUGAAGUGAUCUGGAUCUUGGCUGUUGUUGGGUGAAAUAGAAAUUUCUUUGUAAAUAUAUACAUAUGAUUUUAUCGAAGUAUUCAUUCGAUGGAAUAAUUUAAAUCUUUGGUGCUGCUAAGGAGGCGCAGAGAUUUCUCCGUAAACAUAUAAUCGGGUUUUCUUGAAAUAUUUAUUCUAUGGUAUACGCAAUUUGGGUGAUAUUGGGUGAGGCUGAGAAUUUUAGAAAUAUAUGAAUGUCAUUUUUAACUUUCUCUAUUUGUAUUAAUAUACCAGACUUUAUGCUUUAAAUUAAAGUUUUCGAACGUAAAGUCUCUCAUGUAAUUAAAAUUAUCGAUGGAAAAUUUGAUAGUCGAAAAGUACGAUAUUUGUUUCAUGGAAGUUGAUUAUAUUCGGAAUAAGCGUUCGAGCGGUUCUGGUAAAUUGUAAACCGCUUGAUAUUAUGAAAAGGAAGUACAUAAUGAGGGUUAUUGCUAGCAAUCGACUACUCGAUAUUCCGUUCUGCAUUAAGAUACGGAAUUAUGUUUAAAAUCGAGGACCCAAUUAGCCGAGGUACAUGCCAUUAGGUCCAUUCUGACGAAUCAGACGAACAUCCUUCGAUUCUGAGUGUAUAAAUCGUAACGUUAGAGGUUUUUUCGCGAUACUUAAAAUGCAGUUUCGUUAACGAAACUUCGAUCAAAGUCUCAGACGCGAAUAUGACUCGUAUACGCGGGCCAUGGUACUUGGAGGUUUUAUGGAGUGCCGUAUAAAGUGGGAUAAAGCCUCUGUUCCGCCGGCACGAACCGAUUCUGGUAUGCACGAGAGUUUGGUUCGCCACUUCCUGAAGAGAUGGCGCCACCAUAGCGGUCGAUACGUCUUUCAUAGUUCUUCGUGUACCAAGGUUAAAGAAACGGAACUGCCUAUGAUGAAGACAUCGACGAAAAUGCUACGAUCGUUUAAAAAUAACGAGAAUUAAUAGUCGUAAGUGGUUGUUCCACGUCAAAGAAAUAAUUUGUUACAUUUUAAUCGCGAUAUAAUAAAUAUUACAAGUCGUACGAUACUUUAACAUUAUUACAUUAUAUGCAUAAAGAAAGUCGAUGUGAACAGAUCGCGUUUGAUGUUUUCAGUUUCCAUGUUGUUUAUUUGUUUUCGCGUGUGUUCAGCUAAUGGCUGGAUACACGCUUGAUAAUGCCUUUAUAUGGCCCGAUAAAGCUCAUAUAGCUUUUAGCAAUGAAAUCAUAAUCGCGCGCGAUCGCCCGACACGAUGUAUUAACUACAUGCCAGCCCUGUUUGUAGCUACACGUAGACGCAUAAACGGUUCUAUUAAUUAUGUAGAUGAUGCUGUUGCGUCACGGAUCGACGCUGAAAACACUCGACCGAUUCCCAUAUACAUCUACAUGCGCGAUAUACAGAAGAGAACGACGCCUGAUAUUCCACCGAGAGAAAUGGCUUGAAGAAGAAGAGGAUUACCAGGUAGUUAUCCCUUAAAUGAACAGUUUUAUAACAAAACUCGAUAUCAAAAGUGGAAAUCUUGGCUAGAUGUUCCUAACGUACAUCUUCGUUUCUAUCAAUCGAAGAUAUCCUUAGAUAAUCCUAAGCCUCAUUUAUGUAGUUAAUUGACAGCUAUCAAUUUAUGAAAUUGCAAUAUAAAAUCUAGGAACCAGGUACGUUUCAAGGAAUUCUCGAUGAUACGGAGGAAGACGGUAAUAUGUCAAUUAGAUUUUAAUGAAAAGCCUUGAGAAUUGAUUAGAUCAUCGGUCUUGAGAACUUUACGUAUACCAACGGUUGGUUAUCAGGUAUUUUCAAUUCGAGAUGAGCAACGUAGACGUAAAUCAAGCUUGAAGCUUGAGAAUUUUGUUGGACGUCAAGUUGUUACGCGGAAAGUACUAAACACGUUGAUGAAGUGCUUACAAAACGUUGUCCAGAAGAGAGACAUAAAGGUAGAGGGGAGGAGGAGGACUCCCCUUGCUGUUCCUUCAAUUCAAUUGAAUUCUAUUCCAGCGUGCAGUUGAUAUCAUUGAGGUCGCCACUUAAAUCCUCAUUGUCGUUCGUCGCUUAUUGUUUCACCCUUCGUUCGGCUACCAACGAAUGUACAUACGUACGUUUCUCUUUCACAUCCGUACCCGCACCUCUAACCGAUCUAAAGGAGAGCCAGACUCGAGGGUCCAACCAGCUAAGAAUUGAAACUGUCGUUGCGGAUCGGAAAAUGGCCGCUCUGGAUAAAUUACACGGGUUAGGAACACUGUUAAAUGAAUUUAAAAUUGAUACAGAUUUCAUUAACCUACUGAAAAUGUUAUGCAAGACAAUUUUUUAGAAUGUACAAAAAGUUUUAAGCAAGAUUAAAACACAGAAGAGUUUCAUUUGAUACGAUAACUAGUAGUUGUGUUAAAAUAUUCUUCUAAAUACUAUAUCAAAAAUUCCCUGAAAAAAAAAGAAAAACAAAAUAAAAUAAAAGAGAAUAAAACAUUCCAGUAAAAGAUAUUUCAUACACAUAUUCGGUAAUUGAAUUUAUUCCAAAAUAUUUCUCCCACAUUUGCAACUUAGACAGCGUACUGUACGUGACUGAAAACACCGAACAAUAAAGUCAUUUGCACAGGCGAUCCUCCAAUUAUAGUGAGCACCACAACACCGCAGACUCGUAAUCCGAAUCACGCAUGAAAAGUAGAUAGAAACGCGGCUAACGAAAGGACGACGAUGGACGAAGAAGAGACGAGCCUCUGGCGGUAACCAAAAAUUUGGUCACCCAACCCCCCCUGUCUGCUUGAAGGGCUUCCCUCGACUUCAUCACCGCUCGAGGACGCAGGUAGCGCCAUCCGACUCGACGCUACUUGCCGCGUAGCGAAUUUCAAGGAGUGCACUUCAGGGUCUUUCAACAGUGGCCGGUGCGCUGGAGAACCCUCUUCGUGUACCGUGAAGGCUUGGGUAGUUUCUGGCUGCGAUGUUGUUGGCAACGGGGAAUACCCCCGGCACCCCAGCCACAUGGAAACGUGGACGGAAUAAUGGACGAAGUGAAGUGCGUCGCGGUUGCUCCCGAAGUGGGCAUUGUUGGCCCACAUGCUCGCUCGAACAAACCAGGUUGAUCGACUUCGUAGGAACACAUGGGAACGUCGACCGCUACUCUUUCUCCUUUCCGUCUCCUUCUUCCCCUUCGUUCUAUUUUUUCUCACUUCUAUUUCAUCUACUUUUGUUUCGUCUCUCAUAUGUAUAUACACGUAUGCACGUCUAAUCUAAUUGUAGCAGUAUUACGACCACUUUCAAGAGUCUUCUAUUCUACCCUUCCCUCUUGGUUCCAAUCCAACAACAUCGAUUCCUUCGCGAGAACCUUAUCAAUGGGGAUCUAGAAUCGUACAAAUGCAUCCGCACGAUAUGAUUUGCUUUUGGGGGAUCAAAGGAACGUUGAGUUGGAAUCGGUUCUCUGUUGGGAUAAGACUGGAGAAUCCCGCAGUGGCUCGUGACGAUCAUGUAAAGUGAAUUAUCCUGUCUGAUUAUAUCGUCAUUGUCAUUAGGUCCUGAUCUCUAUCGCCUUCUCUCUGUCCCAGCCACCUACGGUGCCCCCGUUAACAAUCCCACUUGAUUCCGUCAUUGGCGACGUUGGAGUUCCUGAAUGAGUUCGUAACGAGAUGCACAGCCAGAGGGCUGGCCCACGUCGGGGUUGCCAGCACGUGUCCUCAAUGGACCAAUCAAAGCUCACCCUCUUCUCUAGUCUAGUCUCUCUUGCCGACUCCCUAUGCGUUCCUCUCUUCCCAAGACCGGGCUUUAUGUACAUUAGCCUAAUACGAUCUGGCCACGGAGGAUUUUGUGGGUCGCCGUUGGGAUCAUCUUGUCAUGGUGUGACUCCUCGUUCGUCUUGGGAUCAUUUUCUCACGUUUAGAAAUCCAUUCUGAAAUCUUAAAAGAAUUAAGUUUACUCGUAUUAAUCAAGGUAUCGUUUAUAACAAAUUCCACAAGAAAUUUCCUUGUUUCGAAGAAAUAAAUUUUUCAAGAUUGACAGUUCUGGAAUUAAUUUCCAUGAUUAAUACCAUUAUGUUGGUCUUUAUACCAACAAUCAUAGUAAGAUAAUACGUUAAUGAAUCGAGUGCCCAUAUUAAUUAAGUUAAAUUAAGUUAAAUAAGUAACAUUUAAUGUAAACUCACCCCCUUUUUCAAAGGAAUAAAUAAAUAAUUUUCCCAAACCUAAGAACUCCAUUAGAACUACAUUAAUAAUCAUAAUAAAAUUCUAUUUCUAAAUCCAUCCCUUUUAUGAAGCUAUUGAAUUUUCUAGAUUUAGCGACUUCGAAAUUAAUCUCGUCAACUAUAGUCUCUAUGCUAAUGACUAACGAUUAUGUGAAGGUAUUGCAUCAAUCUCAUCAUAAAAUACUUUCUAAUGAAUACAGUAAUGGAAUUGGAAUUAGAGGAACGAAAUGACCAACGGAUAGAGAAUUGUGCACACACGUGUGAUUAUCUGUACGCGUUCACGCGACAAAUGCGUGUUCGCAUAGAGCGUGAAUGCGUUUGAAGAGAAUCUGAUCUUGGAAUCGGGACUUGUCGAAUGGGAUAGUUUAAUUGCCGCAGGAGGGUGACAUCGCGUACCGACGACGUUUCUGCGGCGACGAAUUCCGUGGGGACAGCGCGCGAUUCCAGUUCAGUGCAUUCGUUGGACCCUGACGCGUGGACCACCAAGUAAGCGGGCUUAAUUUGCGAUUUGACUUCUAUAGCGACUCAUCUCGGGCUUGUGGCUAUAAAGUCGUUAUUAAGAUUCUAUUAUUACAAAUCAGUGGAAAUAAAGAUUUUCUUGAAAAUAAGACGGAGAUAAUAUUUAAAAGGGUAGCAAUAAGUAAGCAACUCCUCUUUUUAAUUCCAUAUCCGUUCUAAUUCCACUAAUGUGUAUAAAUCAACGAAAAUCAACACAGAAUCAGUCAAAAUCAAAUGACUUCUUAAACGCGCUAUAAAUUCAUAGCCGAUUAAUAUUCGUAGUGAUAAAGAUUUGCACUUUUGAAUAGGAAACCUAUAGCUUUCUUUUUCCUCUAAUAAAUACGAUUUAAAUACUCGAGCUGCUUUCUUAUCGUUGUCAAUUCUUCAAAUUAUUUGAUUAUUUUUUAAAUUGUGGAAAAAUAGAUGGGAAAUAUAUAGAGUUUUCGAAGCGGCUCUAUUAAGAUGGAAAUUAGAAUGUAGAAACGAGAGCUCUCUAGCAGACGUUCCAAGUUUGAACGCCCCCUCCUCGGUUCCAAGAAUAAAUAAUUGAACCUAAUUUGCCCCGGCUGUGGUAGUUGUACGCGUAAAAUCCGCUCAACGCGAAUUUAGCCGGCGGAAUCCGCAGCGUGACUGCAAAAACGAAAGAAUGAAAAAAAUAACCGCACUCGCCAGCCGUAAACCUCGAAAAUUAUAAUUGCCACGCGGCGUAGGCAAGAACGCAAUAACGCGAGUUCCAGUUGUAAAAGCACGUGGACACACACGCACGUCGCGUGUACACCAGGUAGGACGUAAUACGAGUUCGUAUAUUCAAGAGAUUACGGAAAGACGAGGAGUUGCGCAGUCCAGGGCUACAGCAGCACAGUGGCUCGGCCGACCACGAUUGCGACACCUCCUUUUAACAACCACUCUCGACAUCCAGGAGAAACUUGUGACAUCAAAACUUCGGGCCGUGGUACGAUUGCAGACUCCGCAAUUCGACGAUCCCAUGAGCCGUCGAAUGUCCUAGAUUGAAAACCCUCGGUUCAUCUCCUUCUCCAGAUAUUCACCUUACCUUCACGAAUUAUAGCUAUUUUAGUCGAGAAGUUGCGUCAUUGCGAAUUAAGAAAUUUUUCAAAAGAUUAUUUAGAACUUUGCGAGAUUUAAUAUUUUCCAAAUUUCUUAGAAAACUCUUCAAAAGUCUUACUUAUCUGAGUCUUAUUUAUUCCUUAUUCAAGGGAAUACUUAUGUUAACCAUCCUCGCUAAUACUAAUCAGCUUAGAACUGAAAAUCAGCCCUGAAAAUUAGAAAAUUUCUUAGACAGUCUUUUAAAUUUCCUCGAGAUUUACCACGUAAUUCAAAACAUAUUCUACUAGUCCUUAGAAUCCUUAGAAACUAAAAAUUCCUCAAAAGGUUCUCUCUAAAAUUUAUCUUGUAGAAACCAAAGAUACAAGGAUCGUACACAGCAGCGAUUCCUCGACAUUUCCAUCAACAGCGGAAUACCAUGACGAUGGGCAACGUCCGCGAAAAGAACAAAAGCACUUUCACGUGUUGGGGGAUAGACGCGGCUAAUUGAAAAAAUCUCGACGGACGCUCCAGUAACAAAACGUGACUUUCGGCGCGCCGCAGUUCGUGGAACGAGAACGGAUUGGCUCGGGUUUCCACGGCGCGAAAUAAAAGCCGCACGCGGAGUAGAUUCAAUCAGGCUACGAGGGGUUUGAUGAGGGGUCCAGGGGGUGAGGGAACGCAGCAUCGAUGGGGAGAGUGGUGCGCGAGAAGCAGUCGGUUGAAGUGCAAACGCGAAGGGCUCCGUAAAUGCGUUCACGCACAUAUACGGCGAUGGGUUCAAGUCAGUACAUCGAAAAAGGAUAAACUAUCGUCGCACACGCACACACAUUGUUCGUUCGUUCGUACGCGCUCUCCCUAAUAUCAUAGGGUGCAUUACGCGUUAAGUUAAGUUACACUUAAGGAUGCUCGUUGAACAGGAUUACGUAUGUACAUACACGUUAAUGCACGCGUACCUAGUUGAGUGCGUAUUGUCGCGCUGGAAUGGGAAUUAAACGAGUUUUAUCUCGCGAAUACUAAUAUCAGGGUGUCGUGUAACUUUCAGUUAAUGCGUCUGAAAGUGGGUUUCUUUCGAUGACGACAAAAAGUCUCGGCUAUUUUUCUACUGGUAAAUUUUGUUUUAAUUAGAGAUUAGGAUGGAUCUUUGUAAAGUUUCGGGAAAAAAGGAAUGAGACGUUUUACAAUAAUUUAAGGAUAAUUUUAUAACGUAUGAUAAGUAUCACGUUAAUGAUCGAGAAAUUAUAAUUGAUGGAUUUUUUGUGAAACGAUGCAAGUACAUGAAAUGAUCCACCGUAUGUGCGAUGUGUGUAUUCGUACUUUCCUAGAAGAGGGAUUUUUACAAAGAUUAUUAUAAAUCUCCAAAUUUUAACGUCUACGUAAGACAAGGUAUUUUAACUGUUCGAAGUGAUAUCUUGAAUCUGCUCCGAUCAUCGAUUCUAUUCGCGUCUAUUCGUGUAAAAAGAUAGAGGUGCAAAGGGUUAAUGUUCGAAGGCAUACUGAUUUCUAUAUCACAGUUUAAUUACACUCACGCUCUCCUCAAAUUAAAUAUUUCAUCACCUAUAUCACUUUCCCUUCACUGAACCCUUCAAUUUGAAUUACUCCUGAAUCUUAACGCCAGCCAAUUUGUCGUAACACAAAGUAAAGGCUGAAUUAACGAGCAAUCUAAAUCUAGAAACCUAUGUUCGCACGAUUCCUCGGCUCGUUUCUUGUUCUCGUUCCACCGCUUUUUCCGUGAAAUAAAUCGCUGUUCCAACAAACUAGUUCGAAUCAGAGGAAAAUACGAACUCGGAUAACAGCGUUCCUCUUCAAUUUACUUACUUCGUAAGCUAUAUUCUCUGGAUUCGCGUGGAGGUAGGAUAGUUUUCUUGGUAACGCGAAUGCACGUAUACUUUUUGUGGCUGGUACGCUGCCGGCUAUGCUGCAAUAGCAUUAGGCCGGCCAAUUGGACGCAUCUGUUGACUGGUAACCGGGUGACCUCGCCUCUUAUCAAAUGCGUUGACACGAUAGAAGUCGAGAGGUCCAUUUGUUGGGCGUUAACGUUGCAUAAAAGGAUAAAAGGAACCAAAGCAACCGAGGGGGAAAACAUGAUACUGAUUGCGCCAGCCGAUUGUCUCUUCAAGAUCGACGAUAUCGGUUCUUCCUAAGGGCUCCUUCUUUUUCCUCGUUUUCCAGAUCACACGUCAAUUAGACCAUUACAGACUUGUAAGGAAUAGCUUCUUUCAAUCUUAUCUCACUUAUUCGCUUAUACAUGUACAUGCGAGAAAUUAACGCUAGAAGGAUCGACGAUUAAAAUGGGAAACUUGCGUAAACAAAAUAUCAGAGUAUAUAUGGAUAAAGAAUAAUGUGCAGUGUAUAUCUGCAAUAGAAGAAUUAUAAAACUUAUAUAACAAAUUACGAAUUAGUAAUUUUAACCACUUUGAUUGUUCUGAUAUUUUCGAACAUCGGGCGAAUGAAAUGUUUUGUUUGCAACGACGAUAAACACAAAUUUUUUGUGCUGUCAGGCCAAAGUUCCCAACAUUGAGAAAGAAAAAAAUUGAUAUAUGGUCGAGAUAUAAUAUUUGGCCCAUAUAUCCGACAAUGUUAUAAGAAUUUUAUUUAUCGAAGAGAAAGGGAUGAAGGAUGGCAAUAUAAAAUUACACGAAACGCCUGAUAAGAUUAAUUACGUUUGCAUCAGGCUCUCGUGAAUAUAUUUCUUCAAGCGUUUCCGCUCUUCUUCGCUUAAACACAGGUAGACAUACACUUAUUUCGCGAAAUUUAAUUCUGGGUUACACUGAUGGAGGGUAAAGACAGCCAUGAUUAAUCAGUUCCAUCAUUGAAGGCUGUUCGUCGUUAAGACGUCGAUGCCCGACAUUGGAGAAGGGGAGGUGGAAAAGAAGUGGACUCAGGGAGUCGUUAAUCGCGGAAAUUCGGUGAAACCGUAAUUAGCAGGACGAUCGCCGUUAUGGCGGGGCACGAAAGUUCGCCGGACCAGCAGCCUAAUGAACUCGUUACAUAUUUACACGUUGUUCGUGCCUGACGGUCGGUUCGGGGAGCUCAGAAAACCACAUCGAAUUAAGAGGUCCUUUCGCAAAUUGCAGACGGAACACGAGAGAGCGAUUUAACCUUAUCGAUCCACGAACGACUUUCUGAUCUGUUUUAACACCCACGUCCUGCCGCUAACGUUCUAGAUAAUGAUACUGGACACGCCUGUUAAACCGCUAAUUUGAAACAAUUUAUAUAUGUGUAUACAUUUAUAUAUAUAUCUAUAUAUCUAUAUAUAUAUAUAUAUAUAUAUAUGAAUUAAACUGGCCUGUAAUUUGCCACCGUGGUGUUCCGUUGUUGGUCUGCGAAAAUCGUCGGAUUUCUACAUUUUUCGAUACUUGACAGGCACGUGUGUUUCUUCUCUUCGCUAAAAGCGCGAAGCUUCGUUCGUUUCCUCUCUGAUAUCUUGGUAACGUAAAAGACAUUGAACUGAGUUAGUUGUUCGAAAUUUUUGCGAAGUCAAAGAUACAAUUAUCUUGUCAAGCAAAGAUCUGAAUUUGGAGAUGUGUGGUUAUAUAUAUUUGCAGUGAUGUUUAAAAUGAGAAGUAUCUAACUUUUGCGAAAUUAAAAAUAUUAUAUUAGACGUUAUAGAGCAGGGCAUACGAUAAUCGUAGGAAAUGAAAAUUUAAAAUCAAGAAACUAACUUAGUCGAUAAUUUAUGAAAUCCAUAUUUUUGUGAACAUGACAGGAUCUAGAUAUUUAUAUUAUUUACUAAAUAUUAUGACGAGUACUUUAUUUUGUGUAUUUUAUAAAUACAAACCACACCUUAAUCAUCAAACCCAUAAACUUCAAGAACUUAAAACCUAAAUCGGCCAUUUAAAACAUUUAUAAUACAAUACUACUGUAAUUCCCAGAAAACUACAUUCUCUUCGACGAUUUCUCCCUCAAACCCGUUUCUACGAUCUAAUUGUCGUAUCUGAGAUUCAAUUCGCCCCACCAGCCCCGUUUCUCUACGAUUCCCUCACGAGUACAACGAGGUUCGCCAAUUUGUCGUGGCAUCGGUCGUGCUUCGUUCCUCGACCGAAGCACUUCGACCACUCGACCGACGGUCCCACACGUGCAAACGCGUCCGCGUAAGCAUAGAACGCAAUACGCGUGUGUGCGCGCGUAUUUGUGUGUCGUGGGGUUAAUUGAAUCAAGCAGCACGCAACCAGCUCUGUAUACACUGCCGGGUCAUCCGAGGUCAAAUCGGUAAUGGGCUGACCCUUAAUUCGCCAUGUGGCUGACCACCGAACGCCGAUACAUCGUCGUCGCUCUGGUUCCUUCGACAUGCGACCCAUCCUAGAUUCCCGCUGACCUUGAACUGGAAACACCGUCGACGACACGGUGGAUCCAUGCCAGCUCGUCCGGCACGAAACCCACCCCCUCAGGAUGAAUGGCGUCGUUCCGGCAGGCCGAAGAUAAAUCGAGAUACUUCAAGAACACCCCGUACCUACACAGAUGUUUAAGAGCUAAGCAACUACUCAGAGCGAGUGAGUUGAUGCGAGCCGCGUAUCACGAGAAGGAAGUUCAAUUUAACCCAAUAAAGGACAAUCAGAGGCCGACGGCGACCAGAGACGAAUACCUACUACUCCUCUGAUGGCUAAACGGAUCGACCGAGGGACUUCGCCUUCAGGUCUUUUCGGCUCGGAAGAUGGAAAACUCGUCGACGUGUUCAGACAUCGUACCUACCAACGUCUUAUCGCAGACAUCCUUUCUGUUAGGUUCGUGCAUAUGAAAUAUCUCUUUUCCGAUGUGGUACUGUUAUCAGUGUUUUAUUUUAUCGUUAAUUAUCGAAUAUAAUAAAGAAGCAGCAAUUUGCUAUAAAUCAUAUUAUUUAAUCCUGAGUGGGUACUAUGCCAUAAAGAAAAAAAAAAAUUGAUACGUCAUUAUUGGCUGUCAGGAGUAACUAGAGUAUUCGUAUGAUUUCCUUACGUGAGUUUCAUUUUGGAAAAGGUACCCUGAAAGCACUUGAAACAAGUGGAGAAAGUUGAAGAUACUCUGUGUCCUAAUGAAACAGUUAAAUAAGUUUAAUUGAUAAUAAAUUAUUCUAUAGAAGAAAUCGUAACAGAUCUAUUUCAAGAAUCGUCGAAUUUAAAAAUCGGUAAUUUUUAUAAAUCUGAAAUAAUGUACGUCGUAUAUGCAUUAAAUAUACAAAAAAGAACAUAUCCACUAACUUAAUGUUAUUCAAUUAAUUUAUUGAUUCGAACAAUAGCAUAAUAUAUUUCUUCAAAUAACGUUGCACGACUGAUCAACAGUUUGUUUACCGUUUAAUACCACAGAUCCAUCUGUUGUCGAUAUCCAGGCUACGUUUUCCUUUUAUGCAACUAGAAUAGUUCGCCAGAGGAGUUUUCGAUUGGCAAAUGGGUAUUACGGGCUUAGGGAGUUAGCGAAAAUGGAAAAGGCCAAUUCAGUUCAUUCUUCGGGUUCGCCGCUCCGCGAACGACAAGGAGCAUCUAGUUCACGAUCCAAUGGACCGUGAAGUCUGUGACAUGGACCAAGUGGAAUUUUCGGUCAGUGUGUUUCUUACAAAAGGCCGCAAAAAGCCCGCAAAAAGGCUGCAACGAUCCGCUGUGAGAAAGGAAAGGGAACAGAAUGGCUCAACGACGGGAUUUGAAGCGUUCAAUGAUGCUGAUUCGUGAUCGCUGAUCGGGAACAUCGAUUUUGACAGGGUAGGAAAGUGGUAAACAAAGCGACAGAUGAUUUACAAUUUCGUACAGUUUCUUAAAGUUUUAUUAAUAUUAAUAAUAAUCGAAGGUAAGCUGCAGUUUCUUUAUUUGCAGAAUUUAUUAUAUUUUAAGUUACAAAUAGUACAUAGAUUUCUUAACACAUUCACUGCUACUAGUGCGUGUGGUGUACCGAUUAAAUACAGGCAAAUUAUCGCUCAAAAUAAAGAAAUUUCUGAUAGAGCGAAGAAUGUAACUGUACGGGCAGGUGAGUGUGUUUCAGUAACAGGAAGUGUGUCAGAGGGGUAACAUUUAUUAUAUAUUUUUUACUUAUACCAUUAGAAACAGAAGAGACUCUUAUUUAUAUACAUAGAAGCUUGCAUAUUCUUUCUUCUAAAGGGACUUAAGCUUCUAAUUAUAUUUUAUAUUACACUUGUAAUUUAAUAUCUCACAAUUCUUUAUCAUUAUUUGAAUUUCAUUCUUAUUUUCAACCCUUAACUAUACAUCUCCGUAUCUUUACGCGAAGCCUUUUAGAUUAUCUAACAUUUUAUUUACUAAAUCGUAUGUCAUAAGAGUUAGUCCAAUAUAUCUAUUAGAUAGUUUAAGGUUUCUUACAACUGUUCGAACUUCUUCGUCUCUAGUUAACGCUUUCACAAUCCUCGAACUGGCACGGUCUAGUCUAUAAUAUCUCGCGACAAUAUUGCCUAACCCCCUGAAACAUGGGUUGACACUCGCAGCGAGACGCAAAUUAAUUAUCAUGCAUUGAUAACAACGUGUUACAAGAACAGACAAUCGGGGACCAACGGUGUCUCCAAAAUCUCACGGGGUUCAUUCACGGCGUCGUGGAAAGAGCGAGGGCUAUCUAUGAAAUUAGCGGGGGUUCGGCUUUAACCCUCCCCAUGGAUGGAUAAGGGGGGUUGAGCAUUAGCGAUUAUACGCACCGCGGAGUCCAUACAUCGGGUGUCUCCGUGUGGAACUAAACAGACAAAAUGGCCACACUACGGCUCACCCUCGAUUCCGUUUUCCUUUUACGAGCCACAGUGGCCGUCUCUUUUCAUCCUUUCUCCCUUCCUACGAGUUUCUCCUUUUUACCUACAAGGCGACAAGGAAGAGGCGAGUCACGAGAUUUUCGAAAGUGCUCUCUCGCCUCUUUUCCUAUCUCUGUAUGCAGUCGCGUCUGUGGAAAGCGUACUGCACGCUCCAUCAACGUGUGGUAUUUCUCCUCUGUUGCAUUUUACAUCUCGAUAUCGUCGUAAGAUCUAUCGAAAGGCGCAUUAUUUGCAUUUUACUGAUGUGAAUGGAAUAGUAGCGGGAGAUGGAUGAUUAAAUUACCCGGAGAGGGGUUGCUAUUUUUCCUGAGAUUAUCUCGACCGAUUAUCUACUGCAAUAAUGUUCAAUAACGUGAUAUUACUUGGGCAAAGUCGAGAGCUGUGUGCAAUGUUUUUAUCAGUUUUAUGCGAUUCAAAGAUUGCCAAGUGUCGAAGGAAAUCCGGUAAUGAAAUUAGAAAAGAAAAACUUCUUACGUUGGUUCUUCUAAUCUGGUUGUUGAAACGAUUUACAAAGUUUACAGUCGCGUACAAGACUCGUGAAGUCGACAUAGUGUCUUUUCUAGUGGAUUUCCUAGUUGACUGCUUUUCAAAUAUUAAAGAUUAUAACGUAAAACGUACUCGAUAAGAACAUUAGAAAACGGAACUUUACCUCAAUUUUAUUGAUUCAUUUGAUUGAUCGCAAAAUAGAUGCUAGUAAUCUAUUCCCUAUCUUUCUUUUAUUCUUACAUUUAUUUUUACAAAAUCAGCUUUUGAGCGAAAGGCGUGCCCAUAAACACGAAGCAGAUACAUGAAAAUAUUCUAAAACGUGUACACAUUUACAGUCCAUAAAAUAUUAGGUACGUAAAUUAAUUCUUACAUCUGAAACGAAACUGAUUUAAUCCAUGCAAACAGGAAA
Bombus huntii is the source of this 22746-nucleotide long non-coding RNA. RefSeq lists it as uncharacterized. The transcript is spliced from 3 exons. The record is from RefSeq and is a predicted model, not a curated record. Lineage: Eukaryota; Metazoa; Arthropoda; Insecta; Hymenoptera; Apidae.